GAUGAACGCUGGCGGCGUGCCUAAUACAUGCAAGUCGAGCGAACGGACGAGAAGCUUGCUUCUCUGAUGUUAGCGGCGGACGGGUGAGUAACACGUGGAUAACCUACCUAUAAGACUGGGAUAACUUCGGGAAGCCGGAGCUAAUACCGGAUAAUAUUUUGAACCGCAUGGUUCAAAAGUGAAAGACGGUCUUGCUGUCACUUAUAGAUGGAUCCGCGCUGCAUUAGCUAGUUGGUAAGGUAACGGCUUACCAAGGCAACGAUGCAUAGCCGACCUGAGAGGGUGAUCGGCCACACUGGAACUGAGACACGGUCCAGACUCCUACGGGAGGCAGCAGUAGGGAAUCUUCCGCAAUGGGCGAAAGCCUGACGGAGCAACGCCGCGUGAGUGAUGAAGGUCUUCGGAUCGUAAAACUCUGUUAUUAGGGAAGAACAUAUGUGUAAGUAACUGUGCACAUCUCGACGGUACCUAAUCAGAAAGCCACGGCUAACUACGUG
This 497-nucleotide ribosomal RNA is filed under the name uncultured bacterium. RNAcentral's name for it is "partial 16S ribosomal RNA". It matches the Rfam family "Bacterial small subunit ribosomal RNA", at positions 28 to 507 of the family's 1533-position model. The record is from RNAcentral.